This 72-nucleotide transfer RNA is filed under the name Pseudobalistes fuscus (yellow-spotted triggerfish). Its description in RNAcentral is "tRNA-Asp". It matches the Rfam family "tRNA". Rfam says of the family: Transfer RNA (tRNA) molecules are approximately 80 nucleotides in length. Lineage: Eukaryota; Metazoa; Chordata; Actinopteri; Tetraodontiformes; Balistidae. The record is from RNAcentral.
AAGAUGCUAGUAAAACGGAAAUUACACUGCCUUGUCAAGGCAAAAUUGUGGGUUAAAUCCCCGCGCAUCUUG